GGGUGUGGCUCAGUGGUAGUGUGCUAUACCUAGCAUGCAUGAGGCCCUGGGUUCAAUCCCCAGCACCACA
This 70-nucleotide transfer RNA is filed under the name Marmota monax (woodchuck). RNAcentral's name for it is "tRNA.Ala". Lineage: Eukaryota; Metazoa; Chordata; Mammalia; Rodentia; Sciuridae. The record is from RNAcentral.